This 633-nucleotide ribosomal RNA is filed under the name Gloeophyllum sepiarium. RNAcentral's name for it is "eukaryotic LSU rRNA". The stretch from base 237 to 390 matches the Rfam family "5.8S ribosomal RNA". Lineage: Eukaryota; Fungi; Basidiomycota; Agaricomycetes; Gloeophyllales; Gloeophyllaceae. The record is from RNAcentral.
GGAAGUAAAAGUCGUAACAAGGUUUCCGUAGGUGAACCUGCGGAAGGAUCAUUAACGAGUAAACAGGGGAGUUGUAGCUGGCCGCAAGGCAUGUGCACGCUCUCUACUCAAUCCAACCUUACACCUGUGCACCUAUUGUAGGUCGAGUGGCUGGACUUGUUCUGGUCGCUCUUCCUAUGUUUUACACAUACACUUGUAGUCUCAGAAUGUAAUCCGCGUAUAACGCAUUAUAAAACAACUUUCAACAACGGAUCUCUUGGCUCUCGCAUCGAUGAAGAACGCAGCGAAAUGCGAUAAGUAAUGUGAAUUGCAGAAUUCAGUGAAUCAUCGAAUCUUUGAACGCACCUUGCGCUCCUUGGUAUUCCGAGGAGCAUGCCUGUUUGAGUGUCAUGAAUAUCUCAACUCAUCCGGUUUUUAUUAACUGUGGUGGGCUUGGACUUGGAGGUAUGCUGGCUGACUAGUCGGCUCCUCUCUAAAUGUAUUAGCUGGACCUGUUACGGAUCAGUACUCGGUGUGAUAAUUGUCUACGCCGUGUCUGUGAAGUGCUUGAAUGGACUAGCUUCUAACCGUCUUCGGACAACUACUGACAUUUUGACCUCAAAUCAGGUAGGAUUACCCGCUGAACUUAAGCAU